CCAACGGCCCUCUUUAGGGCCACAAAUGCAAUGUAAUCCAGUUUU
Non-coding RNA from Caenorhabditis elegans, 45 nucleotides. The record is from Rfam. Lineage: Eukaryota; Metazoa; Nematoda; Chromadorea; Rhabditida; Rhabditidae.